Molecule: RNase P RNA, 381 nt
Filed under: Pseudomonadota bacterium
Lineage: Bacteria; Pseudomonadati; Pseudomonadota
Description: RNase P RNA component class A
Rfam family: Bacterial RNase P class A
About the family: Ribonuclease P (RNase P) is a ubiquitous endoribonuclease, found in archaea, bacteria and eukarya as well as chloroplasts and mitochondria. Its best characterised activity is the generation of mature 5'-ends of tRNAs by cleaving the 5'-leader elements of precursor-tRNAs.
Source: RNAcentral
GAAGCAAGCCAGACCGUCGCUGGUGCAGGGUCCCGAAAGGGCGCACUGGAGGAAGGUCCGGACUGCACAGGGCAGCGCAGCAGCUAACGGCUGUCCACCGCGAGGUGAGGAUCAGAGCAACAGAGACGAGUCGGGGUCCGAUCGCAAGGUCGGGUUCCGGGUGAAACGGGCAAUCUCUGCGCGCAGCAACACCAAAUAGGCCAGCGUGACGGACCGAGGUGGCAACACCGGAGCUCGUUCGAAGUGUGGCUCCGCACAAGCUGGCGGGUAGGUGGCACCGAGCCGUGCAGCGAUGCACGGCCCAGAGGAAUGACGGUCACGGCCGGGCGAUCGCAAGAUCGAUCGGCUGCACAGAAUCCGGCCUAUCGGCUCGCUUCACAC